Molecule: non-coding RNA, 739 nt
Organism: Chiloscyllium plagiosum (whitespotted bambooshark)
Lineage: Eukaryota; Metazoa; Chordata; Chondrichthyes; Orectolobiformes; Hemiscylliidae
Source: RefSeq, a predicted model, not a curated record
UCAAAUUCAACACCAGAAAUUUGCUGGAAGAGACCAAUAAAUUAAGUGUACUGGCCACAUUAAUACUGUAACACAUCAAUACAAACAGAGCAGGUGAUGGUGAGCUGUCUCUGAAAUGCUGCCAUCUUUGGGAUGUAGAAGCACCCAGAGUGUUAUUAGGAAAUGACUUUGAAGGACCAGUGAUACUUGCCCAAGUCAGGACGAUGUGUUCCUUGGAAGAUCACUUUCUUGAAAAGAUAAAGAGAAAAUUCACCUUAAGAGACACUAAGAAAGUGAAUCCUCAAAUGGGAUUAGGAAUUGGUUUGUCCACAACCCCAUGUCCUCCUCAAAAUGUCAAAAUGAACCAGUAGGGACUGAAGAAAAACAUCUCACUGGCACCUGUAAUCAGUGCACUUUCUCUUUUUCUGUGCUUAUUUGUAAUAAUUCUGUACAGCCUUAGUUCUUUGUGUGUUUGGUUGUAUGUGUGUGGGAUUUGUUUUUAGAACAGAUAGAAUUCAAGGUUGAGGAAGUUAUACGGUAGUAAUUUGUGUCUUCAAAUAAAGCAGAAAAAUAAACAUUUUGAUGACAAUGACAAACCAUUUCCUUGUUAGGUACAGAAAUGAGAUGAGUGUUUUCUUCAAGCCUGGGUUGGUCAGAUAGCUGAACUGGGGAUUUUGAUAGUUUGAAUAAAUCGUUUCACAUUCUACAAUGAGUCACAUGUGUGGUGCUGGAAAAGCACAGCCAGUCAGGUAGCAUCCGA